This 400-nucleotide ribosomal RNA is filed under the name uncultured Desulfobulbus sp. RNAcentral describes it as "bacterial SSU rRNA". It matches the Rfam family "Bacterial small subunit ribosomal RNA", at positions 983 to 1382 of the family's 1533-position model. The record is from RNAcentral. Lineage: Bacteria; Pseudomonadati; Thermodesulfobacteriota; Desulfobulbia; Desulfobulbales; Desulfobulbaceae.
GACAUGCAGAGAACUUUCCAGAGAUGGAUUGGUGCUUCGGGAACUCUGACACAGGUGCUGCAUGGCUGUCGUCAGCUCGUGUCGUGAGAUGUUGGGUUAAGUCCCGGCAACGAGCGCAACCCUUGCCUUUAGUUGCCAGCAGUUCGGCUGGGCACUCUAAAGGGACUGCCGGUGUUAAACCGGAGGAAGGUGGGGGAUGACGUCAAGUCCUCAUGGCCUUUAUGACCAGGGCUACACACGUACUACAAUGGCCGAUACAAAGGGCAGCGACACUGCGAGGUGAAGCCAAUCCCGUAAAAUCGGUCUCAGUCCGGAUUGGAGUCUGCAACUCGACUCCAUGAAGUUGGAAUCGCUAGUAAUCGUGGAUCAGCAUGCCACGGUGAAUACGUUCCCGGGCCUU